Molecule: ribosomal RNA, 478 nt
Filed under: uncultured bacterium
Lineage: Bacteria
Description: partial 16S ribosomal RNA
Rfam family: Bacterial small subunit ribosomal RNA
Source: RNAcentral
GACGAACGCUGGCGGCGUGCUUAACACAUGCAAGUCGAACGGUAAGGCCCUUCGGGGUACACGAGUGGCGAACGGGUGAGUAACACGUGGGUGAUCUGUCCUGCACUUCGGGAUAAGCCUGGGAAACUGGGUCUAAUACCGGAUAGGACCCUGGGAUGCAUGUCCUGGGGUGGAAAGCUUUUGCGGUUUGGGAUGGGCCCGCGGCCUAUCAGCUUGUUGGUGGGGUGAUGGCCUACCAAGGCGACGACGGGUAGCCGGCCUGAGAGGGUGACCGGCCACACUGGGACUGAGAUACGGCCCAGACUCCUACGGGAGGCAGCAGUGGGGAAUAUUGCACAAUGGGCGCAAGCCUGAUGCAGCGACGCCGCGUGAGGGAUGACGGCCUUCGGGUUGUAAACCUCUUUCAGCACCGACGAAGCGCAAGUGACGGUAGGUGCAGAAGAAGGACCGGCCAACUACGUGCCAGCCGCCGCAGUAA